Camarhynchus parvulus is the source of this 773-nucleotide long non-coding RNA. RefSeq lists it as uncharacterized. NCBI's taxonomy places the organism in Eukaryota, Metazoa, Chordata, Aves, Passeriformes, Thraupidae. The transcript is spliced from 4 exons. The record is from RefSeq and is a predicted model, not a curated record.
ACUGCCGGCUUUACUGAGCGCUCCAGCUACAGCUUGAAGGUGCAGAGGCUGUCACCAGACUGGUUGCCCAACGAAAUGGUUUAAAAUAUGUUACGAAGGUGGCAUGCUGUGGUCUGCGGUGGGCUAUGAAUUCUGCUGAAGUCCGUGAGGUUUUCAGCACUGCUGCUUCUUCUCACAUCAGGAAAAGGCGCUGAAUUUCCUCUUCAAGUUCAUGGGCAACCUGUAAUCCUAAACUCCUUGACAGAUACUGCCUAUUUCUUGACUUAUCUCUACUUUUUUAGAAUAAAGGAACUCCUCUGAAAUUGCCACAGUGUUUGAAUUUAUGGACCUACUCUUUUAUAUUACUUGCUGCCAGUGAUGUCUCAUGCUUGAUCAAAGGCGACAGCUGCAUUCUUCAAAGGGACAAUUGUGCUCAAGACAUUCAAUAGGUGUUAAGUGAGCAGUUGUUAGCUAUGAUACUGCUGGUGGCCAAGACCUUCCAGAACAGUAGAGGUGCUGUUACUGCUGCUCCUGCUGCUCAUCUUGCCUGCUGCAGCAGUUGGCAAGCACUGCCAGUCAGCAGGGAGUGGUUAGGGUGAAGGAGACCCAAUCAGGCAUACUGUAAUUUACAUCUGAUUGAUGAAUGCAUCAAGAGUGUGGAAACACCAAUUAGAAAUAAAACCUUAGCCACUAAGGAUUUUGGAUGUGCUUCUCUUACCCUGUGCUCCUGAGUGCUCCCAGAAAACUUGGAAAAUCUGACAAAUAAAAGAAAUUCAAAAGGCAAACUCUGUACA